Transfer RNA from Escovopsis weberi, 98 nucleotides. It matches the Rfam family "tRNA". From Rfam's summary of the family: Transfer RNA (tRNA) molecules are approximately 80 nucleotides in length. Their secondary structure includes four short double-helical elements and three loops (D, anti-codon, and T loops). Further hydrogen bonds mediate the characteristic L-shaped molecular structure. tRNAs have two regions of fundamental functional importance: the anti-codon, which is responsible for specific mRNA codon recognition, and the 3' end, to which the tRNAs corresponding amino acid is attached (by aminoacyl-tRNA synthetases). tRNAs cope with the degeneracy of the genetic code in two manners: having more than one tRNA (with a specific anti-codon) for a particular amino acid; and 'wobble' base-pairing, i.e. permitting non-standard base-pairing at the 3rd anti-codon position. NCBI's taxonomy places the organism in Eukaryota, Fungi, Ascomycota, Sordariomycetes, Hypocreales, Hypocreaceae. The record is from Rfam.
GGUCAGAUGGCCGAGCGGUUAUGGCGCCAGGUUAAGGUCACCUUAACAGGAAAUUCCUGGUGGAGCAAUCCUCGUGGGUUCGAAUCCCACUCUGAUCA